RNAcentral lists this ribosomal RNA (253 nucleotides) under uncultured bacterium. Its description in RNAcentral is "partial 16S ribosomal RNA". It matches the Rfam family "Bacterial small subunit ribosomal RNA", at positions 524 to 776 of the family's 1533-position model. The record is from RNAcentral.
UACGUAGGGUGCGAGCGUUGUCCGGAAUUACUGGGCGUAAAGAGCUCGUAGGCGGUUUGUCGCGUCGGGAGUGAAAACCUCGGGCUUAACUCGGGGCUUGCUUUCGAUACGGGCAGACUGGAGGUAUGCAGGGGAGAACGGAAUUCCUGGUGUAGCGGUGAAAUGCGCAGAUAUCAGGAGGAACACCGGUGGCGAAGGCGGUUCUCUGGGCAUUACCUGACGCUGAGGAGCGAAAGUGUGGGGAGCGAACAGG